UGUCUCAGACUAAGGCAUGCAUGUCUAAGUAUAAGUAUUAUACAGCGAAACUGCGAAUGGCUCAUUAAAACAGUAAUAGUUUAUUUGACAAUCUCACUUAUAUGGAUACCCGUAGUAAUUCUAGAGCUAAUACAUGCUGUACUCCUAACUUUUUGGAAGGGAGGUAUUUAUUAGAUAAUAACCAAUAUUCCGUAGGUCUAUCGUGGUGAAUCAUAAUAACUGAUCGAAUCGCACAGCCUUUGGCUGCGAUAAGUCAUUCAAGUUUCUGCCCCAUCAGCUUUAGAUGGUAGUGUAUUGGACUACCAUGGCGUUCACGGGUAACGGAGGAUUAGGGUUCGAUUCCGGAGAGGGAGCCUGAGAAACGGCUACCACAUCCNAGGAAGGCAGCAGCCGCGUAAAUUACCCAAUCCUGACUCANGGAGGUAGUGACAAGAAAUAACAAGCGGUGGCCUAGCCACCGAAUUGCAAUGAGCCGAAUUUACACCACUUAGUGAGGACCAAUUGGAGGGCAAGUCUGGUGCCAGCAGCCGCGGUAAUUCCAGCUCCAAUAGCGUAUAUNAAAGUUGUUGCAGUUAAAAAGCUCGUAGUUGGAUUUCUGGCGGGGACCCAAGUACCCCUGGUGGGUGUGCUCGGGCCCGGCCAUCCUUCUGUAAACUUUCGCGCGUCCUUCACCGGUCGGCAAAGGGAUCAGAUAAUUUACCUUGAGAAAAUUAGAGUGUUUCAGGCANGCUUAGCCGGAAUACAUUAGCAUGGAAUAAUGGAAUAGGACUGAGGUCUCGUUGUUGGUUACGCGGACUACAGUAAUGAUUAAUAGGGACAGUUGGGGGCAUUANUAUUUAUUAGCUAGAGGUGGAAUUCUCUAAUUUGAUAAAGACUAACUUAUGCGAAAGCAUUUGCCAAGGAUGUUUUCAUUAAUCAAGAACGAAAGUUAGGGGAUCAAAGACGAUCA
RNAcentral lists this ribosomal RNA (949 nucleotides) under uncultured eukaryote. RNAcentral describes it as "SSU rRNA". It matches the Rfam family "Eukaryotic small subunit ribosomal RNA", at positions 35 to 1010 of the family's 1831-position model. The record is from RNAcentral.